CCAGUGAGGGAAUUUAAGGAUGGCACAUUGUCCUUGUAACGGGGAUCCAGCAGGGUGGCCACCCAGUAAUCAGCACAAGUUAGAAUGUGGGCAACUUGGCAGUCGUUGCGCAGGCACUUUGGUGACUCUAGAUAACCUCGGGCCAAUCGCACGUCCCCGUGACGGCGACGAUGCAUUCGGAUGUCUGCCCUAUCAACUUUCGAUGUUACUUUCUGCACCUUCCAUGGUGACCACGGGUAACGGGGAAUCAGGGUUCGAUUCCG
RNAcentral lists this ribosomal RNA (263 nucleotides) under Pelobates cultripes (western spadefoot toad). Its description in RNAcentral is "SSU_rRNA_eukarya". It matches the Rfam family "Eukaryotic small subunit ribosomal RNA", at positions 174 to 385 of the family's 1831-position model. Lineage: Eukaryota; Metazoa; Chordata; Amphibia; Anura; Pelobatidae. The record is from RNAcentral.